This 62-nucleotide transfer RNA is filed under the name Tubifex tubifex (sludge worm). RNAcentral's name for it is "tRNA-Asp". The record is from RNAcentral. Lineage: Eukaryota; Metazoa; Annelida; Clitellata; Tubificida; Naididae.
GAUGUGCUAGUUAAUUUAUAUCAUUAGCUUGUCAAGCUAAAGUUACCUCUGGGUGCACAUCU